This 906-nucleotide ribosomal RNA is filed under the name uncultured bacterium. RNAcentral describes it as "bacterial SSU rRNA". It matches the Rfam family "Bacterial small subunit ribosomal RNA", at positions 1 to 903 of the family's 1533-position model. The record is from RNAcentral.
GCCCUUAGAGUUUGAUCCUGGCUCAGGAUGAACGCUGGCGGCGUGCCUAAUACAUGCAAGUCGAACGAAUCUUCUUCGGAAGAUGAGUGGCGAACGGGUGAGUAAUACAUAGGUAACCUGCCCCUGUGCGGGGGAUAACAGGAGGAAACUCCUGCUAAUACCGCAUAGCCAUGAGCACCGCAUGGAGCUCAUGCCAAAUAUCCUUUAUGGGAUAGCGCAGGGAUGGACCUAUGGCGCAUUAGCUGGUUGGCGGGGCAACGGCCCACCAAGGCAACGAUGCGUAGCCGGCCUGAGAGGGCGGACGGCCACAUUGGGACUGAGACACGGCCCAGACUCCUACGGGAGGCAGCAGUAGGGAAUUUUCGGCAAUGGGGGAAACCCUGACCGAGCAACGCCGCGUGAGCGAAGAAGGCCUUCGGGUCGUAAAGCUCUGUUGUAAAGGAAGAACGGCGCAUACAGGAAAUGGUAUGCGAGUGACGGUACUUUACCAGAAAGCCACGGCUAACUACGUGCCAGCAGCCGCGGUAAUACGUAGGUGGCGAGCGUUAUCCGGAAUCAUUGGGCGUAAAGAGGGAGCAGGCGGCCGCAAGGGUCUGUGGUGAAAGCCCGAAGCUAAACUUCGGUAAGCCAUGGAAACCGGGCGGCUAGAGUGCGGAAGAGGAUCGUGGAAUUCCAUGUGUAGCGGUGAAAUGCGUAGAUAUAUGGAGGAACACCAGUGGCGAAGGCGACGGUCUGGGCCGCAACUGACGCUCAUUCCCGAAAGCGUGGGGAGCAAAUAGGAUUAGAUACCCUGGUAGUCCACGCCGUAAACGAUGAGUACUAGCUGUCGGAGGUUACCCCCUUCGGUGGCGCAGCUAACGCAUUAAGUACUCCGCCUGGGGAGUACGCUCGCAAGAGUGAAACUCA